Long non-coding RNA from Poeciliopsis prolifica (blackstripe livebearer), 356 nucleotides. RefSeq lists it as uncharacterized. The transcript is spliced from 3 exons. The record is from RefSeq and is a predicted model, not a curated record. Lineage: Eukaryota; Metazoa; Chordata; Actinopteri; Cyprinodontiformes; Poeciliidae.
CAGCAGGUGGAAGAAGCAGAUGGUUUCUGAGUGAUGGAGCUGUACCAGCUGAUUAGUGCGGCGGUUCUGCUGAUUCUGAUGACUCCAGAGUCGGAGUCGCAGCUCUCUGAUUGUGGUAAACCAGCAUUAAACACCAGGAUUGUUGGAGGAGCAGCGGCUCCUGAGGGUCGUGGCCCUGGCAGGUCAGUCUGCAGACCUCGUCUCACUUCUGUGGAGGAUCUCUGAUAAACAGAGAAUGGGUGCUGACUGCAGGUCACUGCAUUAUCAGGUGAGCACAGAAGGCACAACGGUUGGUUAGUUUGAUGGAUGAGAGAUCUGACAACCAGUGGCUCAAGUGUCACUGGAUUAAUUCAAAG